This 540-nucleotide ribosomal RNA is filed under the name uncultured bacterium. Its description in RNAcentral is "bacterial SSU rRNA". It matches the Rfam family "Bacterial small subunit ribosomal RNA", at positions 777 to 1317 of the family's 1533-position model. The record is from RNAcentral.
AAUAGAUACCCAGGUAGUCCACGCUGUAAACGAUGAGAACUAAAUGUUAGUAGGGGAACCUAUUAGUAUUGUAGCAAACGCGAUAAGUUCUCCGCCUGGGAAGUACGGCCGCAAGGUUGAAACUCAAAUGAAUUGACGGGGGCCCGCACAAGCGGUGGAGCAUGUGGUUUAAUUCGAUGCAACGCGAAGAACCUUACCUACCCUUGACAUCCUGCGAACCCUGAUGAGAGUUGGGGGUGCCGAAAGGAGCGCAGAGACAGGUGCUGCAUGGCUGUCGUCAGCUCGUGUUGUGAGAUGUUGGGUUAAGUCCCGUAACGAGCGCAACCCUUGUUCUUAGUUGCCAGCGAGUAAAGUCGGGGACUCUAAGAAGACUGCCGGUGAUGAACCGGAGGAAGGCGGGGACGACGUCAAGUCAUCAUGGCCUUUAUGGGUAGGGCUACACACGUGCUACAAUGGGGCGUACAGAGGGUCGCGAGCCUGUGAAGGGGAGCCAAUCUCGAAAAGCGUCUCGUAGUCCGGAUUGGAGUCUGCAACUCGACU